GGAAGGGRUGUAUUUAUUAGAUAAAAAACCAAUGCCCUUCGGGGCUCUUUGGUGAUUCAUAAUAACUUAACGAAUCGCAUGGCCUUGUGCCGGCGAUGGUUCAUUCAAAUUUCUGCCCUAUCAACUUUCGAUGGUAGGAUAGUGGCCUACCAUGGUUUCAACGGGUAACGGGGAAUUAGGGUUCUAUUCCGGAGAGGGAGCCUGAGACACGGCUACCACAUCCAAGGAAGGCAGCAGGCGCGCAAAUUACCCAAUCCCGACACGGGGAGGUAGUGACAAUAAAUACUGAUACAGGGCUCUUUUGGGUCUUGUAAUUGGAAUGAGUACAAUUUAAAUCCCUUAACGAGGAACAAUUGGAGGGCAAGUCUGGUGCCAGCAGCCGCGGUAAUUCCAGCUCCAAUAGCGUAUAUUAAAGUUGUUGCAGUUAAAAAGCUCGUAGUUGAACCUUGGGCCUGGCUGGCCGGUCCGCCUCACCGCGUGCACUGGUCCGGCCGGGCCUUUCCUUCUGGGGAGCCGCAUGCCCUUCACUGGGUGUGUCGGGGAACCAGGACUUUUAC
This 557-nucleotide ribosomal RNA is filed under the name uncultured Pezizomycotina. RNAcentral's name for it is "SSU rRNA". It matches the Rfam family "Eukaryotic small subunit ribosomal RNA", at positions 196 to 766 of the family's 1831-position model. Lineage: Eukaryota; Fungi; Ascomycota. The record is from RNAcentral.